Molecule: ribosomal RNA, 497 nt
Filed under: uncultured bacterium
Lineage: Bacteria
Description: partial 16S ribosomal RNA
Rfam family: Bacterial small subunit ribosomal RNA
Source: RNAcentral
GAUGAACGCUGGCGGCGUGCCUAAUACAUGCAAGUCGAGCGAACGGACGAGAAGCUUUCUUCUCUGAUGUUAGCGGCGGACGGGUGAGUAACACGUGUAUAACCUACCUAUAAUACUGGGAUAACUUCGGGAAACCGGAGCUAAUACCGGAUAAUAUUUUGAACCGCAUGGUUCAAAAGUUAAAUACGCUCUUGCUGUCACUUUUACAUGGAUCCGCGCUGCAUUAGCUAGUUGGUAAGGUAACGGCUUACCAAGGCAACGAUGCAUAGCCGACCUGAGAGGGUGAUCGGCCACACUGGAACUGAGCCACGGUCAAGACUCCUAAGGGAGGCAGCAGUAGGGAAGCUUCCGCAAUGGGCGAAAGCCUGAAGGAGCAACGCCGAGUGAGUGAUGAAGGUCUUAGGAUCGUAAAACUCUGUUAUUAGGGAAGAACAUAUGUGUAAGUAAAUGUGCACAUCUUGACGGUAACUAAUCAGAAAGCCACGGAUAACUACGUG